AAUAGAUACCCGGGUAGUCCACGCCGUAAACGAUGGAUACUAGCUGUUGGAGGUAUCGACCCCUUCAGUAACGAAGCUAACGCGUUAAGUAUCCCGCCUGUGGAGUACGGUCGCAAGACUAAAACAUAAAGGAAUUGACGGGGACCCGCACAAGCGGUGGAGCGUGUUCCUUAAUUCGAUGAUAAACGAAGAACCUUACCAGGACUUGACAUCCCGAGAAUUUUGCCGAAAGGCGAGAGUGCUUUAUUGAACUCGGUGACAGGUGCUGCAUGGCCGUCGUCAGCUCGUGUCGUGAGAUGUUUGGUUAAGUCCAUUAACGAGCGCAACCCUUAUGAAUAGUUGUAUUUUUCUAUUCAGACUUGCCCCGGUAACGGGGUAGGAAGGAGGGGAUGAUGUCAGGUCAGUAUUGCCCUUACGUCCUGGGGCUAGAAACGCGCUACAAUGGCCGGUACAAUGCGCAGCCAACCGCAAGGGGAGCAAAUCGCAUCAAAGCCGGUCCCAGUUUGGAUAAGAGGCUGAAACUCGCCUCUUUGAAGUCGGAAUCGCUAGUAAUCGC
RNAcentral lists this ribosomal RNA (556 nucleotides) under uncultured bacterium. RNAcentral describes it as "bacterial SSU rRNA". It matches the Rfam family "Bacterial small subunit ribosomal RNA", at positions 777 to 1345 of the family's 1533-position model. The record is from RNAcentral.